ACAAUUAAUUUGAAGAAGUAAAAUUAAUAAAUUUAUAAUUAAUAAAAUUAAUUUUAAUAUUAAAAUAGGGGGUUUUAGUAUUAAUAAAAAAAUUAAUUGUAAAUUUUAUAGUAAAUUAGUAUUGUAAAAGAAUUUUGAAAUAAAAAUGAAAAAUAAUUUUUUAAAAAGUAAAUUUAAUUUAUUGUAUCUUGUGUAUCAGAGUUUAUUAAUAAAAAUUUAAAUAUAUAAAUUUCUCGAAUUAAAAAGAGUUAUUCAUUUAUAAAUAAAAGUUAUUGUUGCAUAAAUAUUUUUAAUAAAUGAAUAGAAAUGAAAUGUUAAUCGUUUUUUAAGAUAUCUAGUUUUUUUAGAAAAAAAUUUAAUUUUAAAUAUAUUUUUAAUUUAAUUAAUUUUAAAAAUUAAUUUAAAAUAUAAUUUUAUAAUUUAAGGGAUAAGCUUUAAAUUAAAUUUUUAUAAUAAAUAAAUUUAAAUUAUUAGAUUUUUAAAAUUUAAAUUGUUUAUAAAAUUUAAUUUAUUAUAAAUAAUCUAAUUAAAAAAAAAAAUUUAAAUAAAAUUAUUUAAUUUUUUAUAAAAAAUUAAUUAUUAAUAAAAAAUAAUUAAAUAUAAUGAUAAAAUUAGUAUAAAAUUAAAAAUAUUUUAUUUAAUAUUUUUUAAAUUAUAAAAAAGUAAUUCGGCAAAUAUUUAUAUUCACUUGUUUAUCAAAAACAUGUCUUUUUGUUUUAAAUAUAAAGUCUAAUCUGCCCACUGAUUUUUAAAAAUUAAAGGGCUGCAGUAUUUUGACUGUACAAAGGUAGCAUAAUCAAUAGUCUCUUAAUUAGUGACUGGUAUGAAAGAUUGGAUGAAAUAUAAACUGUCUCUUUUAUAAAAAUAGAAUUUAAUUUUUUAAUUAAAAAGUUAAAAUUUGAUAAAAAGACGAGAAGACCCUAUAGAGUUUUAUAAUUUGUUUUAUAAAAAUUUUAUAGUUAUAUAUUAUUUAAAAUAAAUUAAAUUAUUUUGUUGGGGUGAUAGAAAAAUUAAAAAAACUUUUUUUAAAAUAAAUCAUAAAUAAAUGAAUAAAUGAUCCAAAAAUUUUGAUUAUAAGAAAAAAUUACCUUAGGGAUAACAGCGUAAUUUUUUUUUUUAGUUCAAAUAAGAAAAAAAGUUUGCGACCUCGAUGUUGGAUUAAGAUAAAAUUUAGGUGUAAAAGUUUAAAAUUUUGAUCUGUUCGAUCAUUAAAAUCUUACAUGAUCUGAGUUCAAACCGGUGUAAGCCAGGUUGGUUUCUAUCUUUUAUAAAUAUAAAUAUUUUAGUACGAAAGGAAUAAAUAUUUAAAUUAAAUUUUAUUUUAUUGAUAAAUAUUAAUAUUUAAAUAAAGUUAAAAAUUAUAUAAAAAUAUACUAUUUUGACAGAAAAAUGU
RNAcentral lists this ribosomal RNA (1393 nucleotides) under Parapoynx crisonalis. RNAcentral's name for it is "16S ribosomal RNA". The record is from RNAcentral. Lineage: Eukaryota; Metazoa; Arthropoda; Insecta; Lepidoptera; Crambidae.